GAGACACCCUUAUGGGCUAGGACUUGCUUCAGUGGGGCUUUGGUGCUCACUGAGUCUGCUUCUUGAGUGUGUCCCU
Molecule: microRNA precursor, 76 nt
Filed under: Myotis lucifugus (little brown bat)
Lineage: Eukaryota; Metazoa; Chordata; Mammalia; Chiroptera; Vespertilionidae
Description: mir-9229 microRNA precursor family
Rfam family: mir-9229 microRNA precursor family
Source: Rfam by way of RNAcentral